AGAGUUUGAUCCUGGCUCAGAACGAACGCUGGCGGCGUGGAUAAGACAUGCAAGUCGAACGAGAGAAUUGCUAGCUUGCUAAUAAUUCUCUAGUGGCGCACGGGUGAGUAACACGUGAGUAACCUGCCCCCGAGAGCGGGAUAGCCCUGGGAAACUGGGAUUAAUACCGCAUAGUAUCGAAAGAUUAAAGCAGCAAUGCGCUUAGGGAUGGGCUCGCGGCCUAUUAGUUAGUUGGUGAGGUAACGGCUCACCAAGGCGAUGACGGGUAGCCGGUCUGAGAGGAUGUCCGGCCACACUGGAACUGAGACACGGUCCAGACACCUACGGGUGGCAGCAGUCGAGAAUCAUUCACAAUGGGGGAAACCCUGAUGGUGCGACGCCGCGUGGGGGAAUGAAGGUCUUCGGAUUGUAAACCCCUGUCAUGUGGGAGCAAAUUAAAAAGAUAGUACCACAAGAGGAAGAGACGGCUAACUCUGUGCCAGCAGCCGCGGUAAUACAGAGGUCUCAAGCGUUGUUCGGAAUCACUGGGCGUAAAGCGUGCGUAGGCUGUUUCGUAAGUCGUGUGUGAAAGGCGCGGGCUCAACCCGCGGACGGCACAUGAUACUGCGAGACUAGAGUAAUGGAGGGGGAACCGGAAUUCUCGGUGUAGCAGUGAAAUGCGUAGAUAUCGAGAGGAACACUCGUGGCGAAGGCGGGUUCCUGGACAUUAACUGACGCUGAGGCACGAAGGCCAGGGGAGCGAAAGGGAUUAGAUACCCCUGUAGUCCUGGCAGUAAACGGUGCACGCUUGGUGUGCGGGGAAUCGACCCCCUGCGUGCCGGAGCUAACGCGUUAAGCGUGCCGCCUGGGAGUACGGUCGCAAGAUUAAAACUCAAAGAAAUUGACGGGGACCCGCACAAGCGGUGGAGUAUGUGGCUUAAUUCGAUGCAACGCGAAGAACCUUACCUGGGCUUGACAUGUAAUGAACAACAUGUGAAAGCAUGCGACUCUUCGGAGGCGUUACACAGGUGCUGCAUGGCCGUCGUCAGCUCGUGUCGUGAGAUGUUUGGUUAAGUCCAGCAACGAGCGCAACCCCUGUUGCCAGUUACCAGCACGUGAAGGUGGGGACUCUGGCGAGACUGCCCAGAUCAACUGGGAGGAAGGUGGGGACGACGUCAGGUCAGUAUGGCCCUUAUGCCCAGGGCUGCACACGUACUACAAUGCCCAGUACAGAGGGGGCCGAAGCCGCGAGGCGGAGGAAAUCCUAAAAACUGGGCCCAGUUCGGACUGUAGGCUGCAACCCGCCUACACGAAGCCGGAAUCGCUAGUAAUGGCGCAUCAGCUACGGCGCCGUGAAUACGAUCCCGGGUCUUGUACUCACCGCCCGUCA
This 1369-nucleotide ribosomal RNA is filed under the name uncultured bacterium. Its description in RNAcentral is "bacterial SSU rRNA". It matches the Rfam family "Bacterial small subunit ribosomal RNA". The record is from RNAcentral.